CUACGGGCGGCUCCAGUGAGGAAUAUUGCACAAUGGGGGGAACCCUGAUGCAGCAACGCCGCGUGGAGGAUGACGCAUUUCGGUGUGUAAACUCCUUUUAUAUGUCAAGAAAAUGACGGUAGCAUAUGAAUAAGCACCGGCUAACUCCGUGCCAGCAGCCGCGGUAAUACGGAGGGUGCAAGCGUUACUCGGAAUCACUGGGCGUAAAGGACGCGUAGGCGGGAUAUCAAGUCAGGUGUGAAAUCCUACAGCUUAACUGUAGAACUGCACUUGAAACUGGUAACCUAGAGUAUGGGAGGGGGAGAUGGAAUUAGUGGUGUAGGGGUAAAAUCCGUAGAUAUCACUAGGAAUACCUAAAGCGAAGGCGAUCUCCUGGAACAUUACUGACGCUAAGGCGUGAAAGCGUGGGGAGCAAACAGGAUUAGAUACCCUCGUAGUC
This 439-nucleotide ribosomal RNA is filed under the name uncultured bacterium. RNAcentral describes it as "partial 16S ribosomal RNA". It matches the Rfam family "Bacterial small subunit ribosomal RNA", at positions 339 to 795 of the family's 1533-position model. The record is from RNAcentral.